Molecule: ribosomal RNA, 319 nt
Filed under: uncultured eukaryote
Lineage: Eukaryota
Description: partial 18S ribosomal RNA
Rfam family: Eukaryotic small subunit ribosomal RNA
Source: RNAcentral
CCCUUAGAUGUUCUGGGCAGCACGCGCGCUACAGUGGUCUUCGCAAACGGAUGCAUUCUCGAAGGAGAAUGCCAAUCUUGGAAUCUAUGCCUUGGUCGGGACAGUUGCUUGCAAUUUUUCGACUCGAACCAGGAAUUCCUUGUAAUCGUGAUUCAUCACAUCACGAUGAAUACGUCCCCGCCCUUUGUACACACCGCCCGUCGCUCCUACCGAUCGAAGAGUUAGGUGAAUUGUUUUGAUCGAUAAGAUUUGACUAUGGUCAACUCUCGUUGUGAAAUUCUGUGAAUCUGACUGUUUAGAGGAAGGAAAAGUCGUAACA